AUUGAACGCUGGCGGCAUGCCUUACACAUGCAAGUCGAACGGCAGCACGGGAGCAAUCCUGGUGGCGAGUGGCGAACGGGUGAGUAAUAUAUCGGAACGUGCCCGGUCGUGGGGGAUAACGUAGCGAAAGCUACGCUAAUACCGCAUACGAUCUACGGGAUGAAAGCGGGGGAUCGCAAGACCUCGCGCGAUUGGAGCGGCCGAUAUCAGAUUAGGUAGUUGGUGAGGUAAAGGCUCACCAAGCCGACGAUCUGUAGCUGGUCUGAGAGGACGACCAGCCACACUGGGACUGAGACACGGCCCAGACUCCUACGGGAGGCAGCAGUGGGGAAUUUUGGACAAUGGGCGCAAGCCUGAUCCAGCAAUGCCGCGUGCAGGAUGAAGGCCUUCGGGUUGUAAACUGCUUUUGUACGGAACGAAACGGUGAGCUCUAAUACAGUUUGCUAAUGACGGUACCGUAAGAAUAAGCACCGGCUAACUACGUG
Molecule: ribosomal RNA, 485 nt
Filed under: uncultured bacterium
Lineage: Bacteria
Description: bacterial SSU rRNA
Rfam family: Bacterial small subunit ribosomal RNA
Source: RNAcentral